UCGCUGGGUAGCUAUGAACGGACAGGAUAAACGACUGAAAGCAUCUAAGUGUCGAAGCCCCCCUCGAGAUGAGAUUUCCCAUUCCUAUAUGGAAGUAAGACCCCUGAGAGAUGAUCAGGUAGAUAGGCUGGAAGUGGAAGUGCAGCGAUGCAUGGAGCGGACCAGUACUAAUCGGUCGAGGACUUAACCAA
Molecule: ribosomal RNA, 191 nt
Filed under: Lacticaseibacillus paracasei
Lineage: Bacteria; Bacillati; Bacillota; Bacilli; Lactobacillales; Lactobacillaceae
Description: Lactobacillus paracasei partial 23S ribosomal RNA
Rfam family: Bacterial large subunit ribosomal RNA
Source: RNAcentral